GAUAAAAGGAAACCCUUCGACAAAUAAUAAGCAAAAAAAGAUAAAUCGACAAGUCAACACUGCCUGAAUCUGCGGGAUGCAAGUCCAGAUAACCCUUCUUAAGGGUCCAGGCCAUAAGCUGAUGCAGAGGAAACAUAGAUAACUGAUAUUGGAUAUGUGGCGGAAGCGGACAUUGUAGAGGUGGUGUUGCGUCGAUGGCGUCCUGUGACUAUUGAGGACGUCCUCGUGGAAGCGCUCCAGGAGCGGCAAGACCCGGAAGUGGACAAGGUCAUUCAAGAGGUGGGACCAGGCUGAUGGACAUUAGCUUUUCCAUCUAUGGAAAACACUACGACAGGGUUAGCAGGGCCAACUUCAACAUGAAUCAUCUACGCCACAGGCUUGUACAACAAGGAGGGAAAAGAUGGAGGAGCGGGAUGUGGACCAGCUUAUCCGAGAGAAGAAACCAGACUGACGGACCACUCACCUAUUGGGGACUUGACCCAGCAGCUCUUCUUCCCCCAUCAUGCCCAGCAGACUGGUCCAACAUUUUUCAAAGCUCCACAGAAAUGUGAUGCCUGGAAAUUGGCUGUCUUUGGAGUAUGUGCAGAAGGCUCAGGACUACAUAUGCGGAUUGAGAUAUCUAGGAUAGCCAUUAGGAGCUACAUGGCCAUUUUCCAUCGAAAACAACCUCAGAUGUUUAUGGACGGUUUACAAGAUGAAUGGCAAUCAUCAAGGUUAUUUUCAAUUGAAAAUGGCCGAGAAGUUCCAAAUGCAAUGAUAGCAGGAAAUACAAAGUUCCACCUGGGUCUGCACUGGGGCACUGCAGUCCAUAAUGGAAAAUCAAAUGCUGUGAUGAUAGGAGAAGUGACUACGACUGUGACCAGCUCAUCAAGGAGUGGCCAUAACAUUCUCCAACUUGUAGCUGAUGCUUGAAAACCAGUCAAGCUCUUCCAUCGGAAACACUACCUACAGCUGUUUUUCAAGCUAUUGAAAAACAUCUCGAAGUAACACCAUUUUGUACUUGAAGCAGAUGGACCCAGAUUUGUGUAGUGCAGAGAGAUUGCUGAAUCAGAUGUUGUGAAGUACAGCUAAUGCUUCAUUGCUGAGAAUGGGAGGAGUUGUCUUGCCUGAACUCCCAUGUGAAAUCUGCACCAAGGGCGUGGACUUUGAUAACAGUGAUAUUUACAUGAGAAGAUAAGGAAAUACUUCAGAAUUGAUGUUAAUAGAGACAAAUUAGCUUACCCUGGACCAUCUCAACCAAAGCAGUGAACACACUAUAACCUUUUCUUCUUACAAUUUGUUUAGAUAUAUCUGUCAUACAACUGAUGUAUGGUAGGGUGAAAUAUGUUUUCAACUAUAAUAUGUGUUCUCUAUUGAAGGUUGUCUAUUGUAAUCAACAACUGACAUUCAUUGUAUUAUUCCCCUGUUAACUUUUUACAAAUUUCCCUUGAUAGCUUUACUUUAAAGAUGCUCUCUCACUUCCAAAUAAGAUGUACAUUGUACCACAAUUAAUACAAAUGUAUUAUAUUCCAUACAGAACAAAUACAUGUCUUAAACAAUAGUUAUUAUGAUUGAAUACACAGUUAAAUUUUAAGGAAACGUGCAGAAAACACGCUUUAUACAUUAUGAGUGAAUAGUAGAUCACAAUCUUUUAGCAUUCACCAGUAAAUUCGAAUAUUUGCUUUUUCAGCUAUUAAAGAGACUGUACACCAGAUUGUCACCAAAAAAAGUUUUUUUCUGUAACGAAUCCCAGGACAUUUAUUUAAUAGAAUGUGUUACGCUUUGAUAUCAUAAUUGUGUCGGAGACCGGGUUUAAACCCGUGUGGCCAAAAUUGCAGUCCAGUGUUGUAUUCACUGUGCUACGAAGGCGUACUCAAAAUGAGUGGUAUAUUUAAGCUAUAUACCUCACUUGGUAAUAUCACACGAUAACAUUUUAUAGCCAAUCACGCAUAAGGAAUGUUCUACUAGGUAGACACAUUCAUUAAUCUUUUUUAAUGGAUAAAUACAAAAUAACUGCUAAAAUUAAAUAAAUUUUAAACUUCAGUUAGUAAGUUUCAAUGCAUUGUACACAUUAAUACCAAGUUUAUGUCAGUUUUCGACCAUUUUCUUUUUUUCUUGCAAAUUGAUCAUCUGUUGCACAGUUGCUUUAAUACAUGGGUAUAAACUUGUCAGUAAUUAUUAUUUUCCAUUAAUGCAUUAUGUUGUAUAAAGUACUUCAAUUGAAUUUUAAUAAGAGUGUCACUUAAAAGUAAUUUCUAUUAACUUUUAAUGUCUGUCUGAAUCAUCAAUUUAAAAUCCAAGGUUUGACCAGGUUUAUAAGAAGGCUGAACUGCAAUGUCAAAACAAAACAUGUAAUAUAUAUUUAAAUGUGUAUUUAGUUUUGACAUGGUAAUAUUUCAGUUUGUUUUCUUUAUCAAAACUAUUAUUUACUAUAAUUUUGUAUCUUAGUCAAAUAGAUAUGUAACAAUCUUUUACACAGUUUAUCAUAAGAUUUCCUGUAGUUGAAUGAGAUUUUUCUCCCACCUCAGAUAUGUAGAUCCAAUAAUUUAACCAUGCUAGAAAUUCUUAUCUUACCCACCGGCGAAUAUGAAAUGCCCGUAUGGAACUCCUUUUUAAUGGUCACUACAUUUUAAUUAACUCCCUUGUUGAAGACAAUGUUGACUGUAGCAUCAUGGAAACCUUGUCUUGUGGCAAUAUUUAGAACGCUAAUUAUUUAUUUCUCGCUUCAAAUGUCACCAUAAACCAGUUUUCACGCACCUUUCAAGAAAUAAUGCUUCACUCUCCUUAGAACUAUUUCAAGACCGAUCUGACUAUUUACAUAAUCUGAAUCACUGCGCGCAUAUUCAUGACAACCAUGAAUUAUCGCAUAUCCAUUCGCAAUUAUUUACACUAAGCACAAAAGAGUUCCAACAAAAAAUACAUUUUUACUUAUUUUUUUUAACUGGUGAGGGAGAAAAAGCAUCUACCAUAGCCGCUCGUGUAAGAUAGGUUCAUCCCGACCCUCGCGCAGGGUCGGAAUGAACACCCUUUCUCGGGUCGGAAUGAACCUAUCUUACACUCUCGGCCAUGGGAGAUACUUAUAAUGAGUGAAAUAAAAUCACCAUCUUUAUCAUUAAAUUCAUAUGCUUUUCUAUAUUUGUCUUUAAAAUUGUUGAUAUUUGAGAACUAAUUCGGAAAGGUGUUAAGUGUAUUGUUAUUUUACUAAGUUUGGUAAAAAAAUAAAUAUUGUGUAAAAUGAGUAUAGCUACAAAAUGCAUAAAUACCAGAAUAAACCUGUUAAUUGUAUUACAAUUUCUGAAUAUUUUGAAUGUAUUUUUUUUGUACAACAAUGAUCCACUCCUGACAUAAUUGAACACACGUGUGUUAUUGAAGCGUUUUAUGUCAUGUGAUGUAUGGUCAGUCGAGGGGAAAGGCGGGAAUAUGCACAGGUUGUAAUUAUAUUGGUCAUUUCUAUGCUUGACUGAAGUGGUUAACUUGAUUUUAUUCAAAUUUGAGUCGUUUAAUGUUGGCAUAAAGAUGUUUUAUCAUUUAAUGUUAUUAUUCUAAUCGGAAAAUUGUUUAGUUAAUUGGGAACAUUUAUAUGUUCAUGUUAAUCAUUAAUUAGAAAAAAAGUAUUUAGGUCAUGAAAUUGAAAUAUUUCAAAAAGUAUUGAUGAAUACUGAAGGAAAUAUGUAUACAUUUUGAUCUCAUGCAUUUUGAAGCAUUAUGGUAUUCUGAGGUACAGUUUUCCAGAGUUAUUUUACAAACAGUUGAAGUUUUGAUCUCUGGUUUUUACCCUGUCUUGGAAUAUCAUAAUUUGUACAACGUUGUAUUAUUUGAACAUUGUAUAUAGAUGCUGUAUGGUAACAGUUUUCUGUAAAUAUGAGAUUUUAGUGGCUAUUCUCCAGAAAUCUGAUUAGUUUUUAAUGCCUAGCUAGUCCCAAUGUCUUGAAACUUCUUAAGCAUAAAAGACUUAAGUAGACUUAUUUCAGUUAGCCAAAAUGCAUACCUCAAUUGGAUUUUGAUACAUGAAAAAUGGUUUAUUGUAAUUGACAAUUCCUAUAAUAAUAAUAAUAAUAAUAUCUUUAUUUUAAGAAGGUGACAUAUUAAGAUCAUGUACAAAACUACAGAAUCUUAUUUUCGAUAUGGCCCUCUGAAACAGAAUGAAAAUAUGGCAAAUAAUCAUAAGAAAAUAAUCAUAUAUAAAGUAUAACGAAGUGAAUAUAAUGCAAAUUAUUGAAAAAACAAAAAGAGUGAGCUUAGAUAGUCCUGUUGUAAGGGACUUAAGAAGUUUCGAGAAAUUGGGGCGAUCAUGUUUGUAAUUCAAGUAUUUUUUAAUAUGCCUUUAUUUUUGUUGAGUAGUUUUUUAAGACCUCUAGUUUGAUCCCUAAGGUGUUGCAUAUUGUAUUGUAUUUUAUUGUCGUUGCCAUGGUAACAUUUUUAAUACAAUGGAAGUAUUGCAAUGGUAACAUUGUUAAUAUUAAUGAAAGUAUUAUCAUGAUAUUUUUAGAAAAUUGUCACCACUUUAGAUUAUGUUAUUUUGUGUAUGAUUAUAUUAUAU
This is a long non-coding RNA of Mya arenaria, 4519 nucleotides long. RefSeq lists it as uncharacterized. Lineage: Eukaryota; Metazoa; Mollusca; Bivalvia; Myida; Myidae. The record is from RefSeq and is a predicted model, not a curated record. The transcript has 10 exons.